This 513-nucleotide ribosomal RNA is filed under the name uncultured bacterium. RNAcentral's name for it is "bacterial SSU rRNA". It matches the Rfam family "Bacterial small subunit ribosomal RNA", at positions 29 to 517 of the family's 1533-position model. The record is from RNAcentral.
AACGAACGCUGGCGGCGUGCCUAACACAUGCAAGUCGAGCGCGAAAGUCCCUUCGGGGGCGAGUAGAGCGGCGGACGGGUGAGUAAUACAUAGGUAAUCUACCUUCGAGCUUGGGAUAACCCCGCGAAAGUGGGGCUAAUACCGGAUAAGACCACGCAACCAUGUUGCGGGGUAAAAGGUGGCUUAUUUUUUAAAUGAGCUGUCACUUGAGGAUGAGCCUAUGGCCUAUCAGCUUGUUGGCGGGGUAAGAGCCCACCAAGGCUAUGACGGGUAGCUGGUCUGAGAGGACGACCAGCCACACUGGGACUGAGACACGGCCCAGACUCCUACGGGAGGCAGCAGUGGGGAAUAUUGGGCAAUGGGCGCAAGCCUGACCCAGCGACGCCGCGUGGGCGAUGAAGGCCUUCGGUUGGUAAGCCUGUCAUGCGGAAAGAACGACCCUCGUGACGCAUACUCACAGGGAGUGACGGUACCGCGACGGAGGAAGCGACCGGCGUAACUCCGUCGCCGACG